Molecule: ribosomal RNA, 309 nt
Filed under: Geobacillus stearothermophilus
Lineage: Bacteria; Bacillati; Bacillota; Bacilli; Caryophanales; Anoxybacillaceae
Description: partial 16S ribosomal RNA
Rfam family: Bacterial small subunit ribosomal RNA
Source: RNAcentral
GCGGUACAAAGGGCUGCGAACCCGCGAGGGGGAGCGAAUCCCAAAAAGCCGCUCUCAGUUCGGAUUGCAGGCUGCAACUCGCCUGCAUGAAGCCGGAAUCGCUAGUAAUCGCGGAUCAGCAUGCCGCGGUGAAUACGUUCCCGGGCCUUGUACACACCGCCCGUCACACCACGAGAGCUUGCAACACCCGAAGUCGGUGAGGUAACCCUUACGGGAGCCAGCCGCCGAAGGUGGGGCAAGUGAUUGGGGUGAAGUCGUAACAAGGUAGCCGUACCGGAAGGUGCGGCUGGAUCACCUCCUUUCUAAGGA